CAACAGGGAUUGCCCCAGUAACGGCGAGUGAAGCGGCAACAGCUCAAAUUUGAAAUCUGGCCCCUAGGGUCCGAGUUGUAAUUUGUAGAGGAUGCUUUUGGUGAGGUGCCGCCCGAGUUCCCUGGAACGGGACGCCGCAGAGGGUGAGAGCCCCGUCUGGCUGGCCACCGAGCCUAUGUAAAGCUCCUUCGACGAGUCGAGUAGUUUGGGAAUGCUGCUCAAAAUGGGAGGUAUAUGUCUUCUAAAGCUAAAUAUUGGCCAGAGACCGAUAGCGCACAAGUAGAGUGAUCGAAAGAUGAAAAGCACCUUGAAAAGAGGGUUAAACAGUACGUGAAAUUGUUGAAAGGGAAGCGCUUGUGACCAGACUUGGGCGCGGCGGAUCAUCCGGGGUUCUCCCCGGUGCACUUCGCCGCGUUCAGGCCAGCAUCAGUUCGGCGCGGGGGAAAAAGGCUUCGGGAACGUGGCUCCUCCGGGAGUGUUAUAGCCCGUUGCAUAAUACCCUGCGCUGGACUGAGGACCGCGCAUCUGCAAGGAUGCUGGCGUAAUGGUCACCAGCGA
Molecule: ribosomal RNA, 558 nt
Filed under: Trichoderma atroviride
Lineage: Eukaryota; Fungi; Ascomycota; Sordariomycetes; Hypocreales; Hypocreaceae
Description: eukaryotic LSU rRNA
Rfam family: Eukaryotic large subunit ribosomal RNA
Source: RNAcentral